UAUUAGAUGAGAAGAGUGGUCUGUGAACCAUAAGCGGACUGCUAAGACAAAGAACGUGAAAGAAAGAAAAAGAGCAAUCACAAAAUAGAAGGCUUAUGGAUUUCAGUUUGAUUCUCGGCUGGGUGGCUUUGGUAAGUAGUUCACUCACUCUGUUUCAAGGCCUCAGCUUUCUCUUCCAUAAUAUGAAGAUAAAAUUCUCUACCCUGUAAGGUUUCUGGACUUGGCUUUCUCCUUUAAUUAGGUUGAAAGAUGCUAAUGAUUCUAUUUAUAGUAAUAAAGACAGCGCUGACAGUUCACAGCUAAAUUGUUGCUAGAGAAGUGCAAAUGAGUUGGCAUUGGAUAUUCCGACUCAACCAGAAGUAAGGAGCUGGGUAAGCAAUGAAUAUCAUGACACUGGCUCCUAAGCCAUAGCAUGAGAAAGGAUGAGCUCAGGAAUUCAAAUUCCUAGCUCAAGUGUCAGAUAAAUAACCUAAGAGCCUCCACAUGUACCCUGAAAGAGAUCCUUAUCCUCUGUAGCUUCAGGGCUGAAAUUGCUGAAAAUCAUAUACAAAAUCUCAUUCUGUCAUGGUUUGAAUGACAACACAAAUUGAACUUCCAGUCAUGGAAGGAGUCUACUCUUUUUCUUCAUUUCCUGCAGUACUGGCGAUUAGACCCAGGGCCUUAAACAUACCAAGCAAGUGCUUUACCACGGAGCUACAUCC
This 701-nucleotide long non-coding RNA is filed under the name Marmota monax (woodchuck). The record is from RNAcentral. Lineage: Eukaryota; Metazoa; Chordata; Mammalia; Rodentia; Sciuridae.